GUUGAUGCCAUAACCAAGUACUGUGGAGACAUCAAAAGAAUGAAGACAAAGAAAACAUACAGAAUUGGAAGCCCUGCCUCCCCAAGGCACAGACAGAGUCUCCUCCAUCUUACUCAAGCUACACCAAACUCAGCAAGUGUGCAAAUACUUUCAUCCUGCCAGCUUCACUCUGGAACUCUGCUUUCUUGGCUACUAUGGAAAAAACAACGUUCAUAAUUUUACACAGAAAUCAGUGACAUGCGUGGAAAGAAAAUAGAACAGAAGGUAGAAACCUGCGUUCUGGAAUUAGACUGCUGGCGUUUAAAGCUCAUCUCUGCCACUAACCACUUAUAUGAUGUUAGGCAAAUUAUUUUAUCUCUCUGUGCUAUUUUCUCAAAAGUAAAUUGUGAGUUGCAAUGUAGUUUGUUUAACUCAAAAAUUUUGAGAUUUGAAUAUAACAUUCAAACGCCAAGAUGUGUACCUGACACAGAAUAAAUGCUCAAUAAUGAUAAUCUCUUUUUAAAAAAUGCACAAAACGUAGAAAGCAAUACAUUGAAUUCCAUUCUUUAAAACGAGCACAUAUCUAAAUGCUGAGUAAUUUCUUACGGAGACCUUACAGAUACAGUUCUUUUUUCUAUUGUAUCCCCUGGAGUUAUUCAGAAAAGCAUUUUCUUUAAGCAAGUUUUAAUGGCUGUCACUAUGAUUUAAAGCUUUCUACAGAAUCUUUCACAUAGGGUAUGGCUGCCUAAAUUACUCUGGACCUAAUUUUAGAUAAACUU
This 758-nucleotide long non-coding RNA is filed under the name Pongo abelii (Sumatran orangutan). RNAcentral's name for it is "lincRNA". Lineage: Eukaryota; Metazoa; Chordata; Mammalia; Primates; Hominidae. The record is from RNAcentral.